This is a long non-coding RNA of Hyla sarda, 1131 nucleotides long. RefSeq lists it as uncharacterized. Lineage: Eukaryota; Metazoa; Chordata; Amphibia; Anura; Hylidae. The transcript is spliced from 3 exons. The record is from RefSeq and is a predicted model, not a curated record.
CUAUCAUCAGCAGAGGCGGGACAUCGCUGCGGCCGGUGAUAGGCUGAAGGAUCUGUGACGUCCCAACACCAGGAAGCAGCAAUAACAGCGGAGGGACCAUGAGGCCGGUGCCUUAGCAACGGGGGAACGGAGGACGAAGCCCCGAUGUCUUCAGAUUGCCUGUACCGAUCAUGAUGUACAAGCGGCAUAAAAGACGAAGCAAAGUGGUGGACAGAAGACACUGGCAACACCGAUUAUUGAAAAAUGUGACAGCUGUGCAACUUUUUAUUUCUGGAACCAGGAGUGAUGGCGGCAGUUUGAGGCUGGCUUUUGCCAUUUGCAUCCAUAUAUCUCUAAGGACUAGGUUCACUUCCCCAGAAACCUGUUCUGUGCACCCUGUUGACAAGGGUAACAGGCAGAGGCAGACAGGGAAGGGUUAACAGGGCGGUCAGCUGUAUCCGUGGCAACCCUGUUCAACUUACGUGCUAGAGGAACAAGUGGGGAUUGCUGUGAUCUCCUUUGCCCUAUAUGAAGAUGGCCGCGGUGAAAAGGGAGCUUCAGAGCGCAGACGCUUACGCACAUCUUAGCAACAACUAGCCGAUACUUAGCAGUGACGCCACUUCCGCCUCCAGACUGAGCGCUGACAGGAUUGGCGUUCUGGACGCCAUAGCACAUGGCUUUGUUUACAUGCUGUCUCCCGUGUCAACCCGGUGAGUGCCGUGUCCCCGCCCAGACAAUUAAGAUUAUGCACCUGCACAUGGACAUUGUUAUAUUUUUUUUAUCUGUAUAUGCUAUAGAUAGCAUUUAACUGUACGGCACUUUUGCGUCCCGAUAUGGGAAGCAUGACUUAUGUUUACACUUUGCACCGAUCACUUUAUAUUAUUUGUAGAUUAAUUGUUUACUUUAUUGAUGUAAUAUGACGUUACUAAUUGAAAGGUCCUGCGUGGCCAUAUAUACUCGCAUGUUUGCACAUUGUAUUGCUUGAUAAUGGCUGGGUGAGCCAGCCGAAACGUCACCACUUUUCACGUUUGUGUGAAUAAAGACCUAACAUUUUGCCCCUUAUGGGUGUGCAGUUGCCUUUCGUUUUCUAUUUGGAGGGAUUCGUGACUGGGACCUGAAGCAAUUGAACGCACCCUAACGCCUCAGGAGUGC